GAGAGCGGAAUGCUAACGACAGGGAGGAGGUCAAGAAGGUACACAGUGACCCAACCAGCAGGCUCACAGUGGCCUCUCUGAGCCAUUCUGAGCUGGGUCUUUCCUGGUCAAAAAUGUGCAUGUGCACACCGGACACCCAUCUGCUUGCUUCAGUAGCAUUUCUGAUGCCUAGGCAAGGGGGCAGGAACUAAGUGAUGGGAGGGAGGGGGUUCACUCGAGAGAGUAGGGGCUGAGGUGGAGGUGAUGCUGGGGGGCCAACGUGGCACGCACACCUGCAAGGGGCCUGCUGGGGCAGAUGGUAAAUCGGAGUUGGGGGGAGGAGGAUGCACAGAGGGGUACUCAGAGCUGGAGGCACAGCAGGCAGCUUUACCUCUCCUUGCGACGACGUCACAGAUGAGCAGUUAGCACCUAAUUACAUACACAGGUGCAAGAGGUUAAAGUGCGGCACGAGAAUCCACCCCUUUUUACUCUUGGAAUCAUCUGGCUAAUAUUGAAAUAAGCUUUCACUACUAUGGCCUGCAUCUAUCUUUUUUUUUUUUUUCUUUUGGUAUGGGGGAUCGAACUCAGGACCUUGUGCUUGCGAGGCAGGCGGCGGAACCACUGAGCUAAAUCCCCGGCCCAAUGGUCUGCAUCUAAAGGGGUUCUGGGCGGAAGUGGCAGACACUCACCAAGAAGUCAGAGUAUAGCAGAGAAAUCAUCUCUUCUUUGCCACUUACAGAAACUCAGAGCCUAGGUGGGCACUGGAGCACACUGGAGUGUUCUUGUUAACAGGGGAUGCAGGGUGCAUCCUGCAUCCGGUGGGUAAAACCUGAGGCGUGAAUCCUUCUUUGCAACUCAGUAACUUAGGGCAAACUUAGGGCGGGUCUGGCUCUGGCCCUGUGUGGUCAGGGGCUGGGGACAGAGGGCUGUGACCGCUCAGCCUUGCAGGCGGGCAGCUGGUGGCAGAGGAGCUGCAGGGCCGAGAGCACCUCCCACAUCCCUUUACCUCGGUGAGCCAGGAGGGAGGGGCAGCCAGGCUUUGGGGCUCCCAUUCCCAUGGCCUCAGCACCUCGGAGAAAGGUUUCCCAUUAUCUUGCCUAACUGACCAUUUUAAGAGCUUUACAAUUUCUCUUCUUUUUGAAAGUGAAACUAAAAUCAAUCUUAAUUAAGGCAUAAAGAGACUUCUCAAGGUUGUACAAAGCCAAUUCAUUGAUCAUGCUCAAACAUAAAUGGGUUUAGCAAAGAGGGGGCAUGUCCCCCAAUAAUCAGUUCCCAUUUAGACGGCUGCCUGUGCUGCAGGUCCUUCGAAGGGGACAGAGUAACGUUAGGACAAGGACUUCUACAGCUCCUGCCAGCCAGAGCUUGAAGUGCGUGAUGAGCCAGUAGUACUCCGAGGUUCAUCUCAGAACUCCCCAAAAGAGAAGCAUAAAGAAACCGAAAAACCUGGACCCUUUUCUAUCCCUUUGGGGUUCUGGGUCUCAGUGUGCUUCAACUACUCAGUUCUGCUUCAUUCUUCCCACAGUGCCUUCUCCCUCCUCCUUCAAACCUGGGCUUUAGUGCUGGCCUCCGUGACCCCUAUUUAAACCUGCAGUCCCCGACCCCCCCUCACCCUGCUGGGCUUUGCCAUUUUUCCACACCAUUCAUUCCUCUGCAGUGUAAACACUUAUCAUCAUCGCUACCCAGUCUGCCCCGUGAGUUACGGCCAAGCCUGUGAGGGCUGGGGUCUCUAUUUCCCACACAGAGAAUGGUGCCUGCUGUGGAGAGAUGGGGUGUCACUUCUCAGAGACAUGCUCUUUGGGGGGGGCCUCCCCAAGUACUCCUUCCCACCUCCUUUUAUGUGGACGCCUAGCCAUGCUCAGUCCUAAAUCCCUUAGCAGCCUGGGCCUCUUGCGAAAUGACUUCAGACUGCAAGCGGGGUCCCCAAGAACACCUCAGGUGGACUCUGCACACUCUCAAGCCCCAGCUGGGGUUCCCACACACCUGGCUGGUGGAGCAGGCGCCCUGAAGGCCUGAGAAGAACAAGGCAGGUCACUUAACUGACCGAAAAGUGAGUACCUUGCCUAUUCGUCGCUUUCUUGGUGAAUUAUCUUUUUUUUUUUUUUUGGUACCAGGGAUCGAACUCGGGUCCUUGUGCUUGCAAGGCAAGCAACGGAACCACUGAGCUAAAUCCCUGGCCCAUGGUGAAUUAUCUUAAGCAAAUUCUGAGUUUCACACCUGUUUUCCAGGUCACCUUAAUGUGCGUGGGAUGCCUUUUCUGUGGCUAGCUGGUAUUUUCUGAGAGAGUAACAGUUAUGGCAACAGUAACAAAGUAUAGAAGAGGACGGGCAGGCUGCGGAAUGCAUGAGACUUUUCCAAGCUAGUCUGGUGUCUCAACUUUUGUUUUUUGGUACCAAGGAUCGGACUUAGGACCUUGCGCUUACGCGGCAGGCGGCGGCAACACUGAGCUAAAUCCCCGGCCUGUCAACUUUUAACUCAUUAGGCUGUGCAACUGCUCCAUACCCAGGAGGCACCUGAGAGACCUUUGUCCUUCCUCUCUCCAGGCCACCCUGCUCAGGACUCAGCUACAGGUAGACAGCUGCUUCCCACCCUGAAACCGCCUUCCUGUUAACUGAGGGACGUUCAGGCACCCUGGGCAGCCACUCUCCUGCUCCAGCCCAGGCCCGGGACAGCCUCCUGCAGCUCUUACCUCAUCAAGCCCAGGAACACCAGGAGGAUGAGACUGACGAGCCAGCCGGCGGUGGCAAAGGCCUUGGGCAUGGGAAUGAAGACUCAUCCUCCCAGGAUGGUGGAGAGAAGGUGUUUUCUUCCCUGAAAGAUAGAGAUGACCACUAUCUCCUGGUCACCACCACCUCAUCCCACCACUGCCCAUCUUUCUCCUACAUCUCUCUUUACCGUAGGAUAAGAGAAAACAGCACUUGUUUAUGGCAACUGUCCAGUCCUGGCCCUCAAAGAAAGACGCUGAAUAAAAUAAAGCACACAGGAAAUGGAGGCAAAAGAAAAAAGCAGUAGACUGGGCAUGGUGGUACGCAUGUUAAUCCCAGCGCUCAGGAGGCUGAGGCAGGAGGAUCACAAGUUUGAGGUCAGCCUGGGCUACCUAGUGAGUUCAAGACCAGUGUGAUACAACAGAGCAAGUACCUAUGUUAGCGCAUGUGUGAGAGAGAGACAGAGAGAGAGAGAGAGACAGAAAGAGAGAGAGAGAAGCUUGUAGGCCUAACUUCUCAGUCUCCUAUGGGCACAUGCUGACACUUGAAAUGAUGACUCGAACAAGAAAUGGGGGCAUCUUAAAUCCUUCCAAAACUCGGUUACAGAAAUGACUCAUUUUCUUACAUCUAAGUUUAAGGACACUGUAAGAAAAAGCAGGAAGUGUGGGACUUUUAGGCAUGGCCAUGUCACUGCUGACAUGGGAGACUGGCAACUAUUACAUAAUUCCACAUACAAGAGGGACACUAUUCAUUCCAUUCCAGGGUUCACAGAAGACUUCCCUGGGUAAACUAUAGAGGUGAAGGAGGCUCCUGUAUGGCAGCAUGCCAAUGGUGCAGGCCCAACAGGAAGACCCUGAAGUGAGGAAGGUUUCUUCUGGUUCAUAGACACGCUUCCUUAUCCAUCACACUGCAAUGCUAGUGUCUGUGACAGGAGCAGAAACAGUGCACAGGUCCCCAGGGUAGAAAGGUGUGUGUAAAGCAGGCCAGCAGCUUAAGGCAGGUAAUUUCUAGAAAGAAGGCCCUGGCUACUUAUAGGAAUGUUGCUUUUCCCUGGGAUACUUGGUAGCAACAAGAGCCAAUCGUCUGAUUAUUCAAGUGAUUACCUGCCAGCUACUGAUCCAAGCAAGAGGUUCUGUGAUGUAACUACCAUGACCAGUGGACCUUACACACAGAAGACUGAGUGUGGGGGGGAGUGAGGAGUAGCAGAGACUCAUGACAGGUAUCAAUCAUUCUAACUGUCCUAAUUGCAGACUCCAACUAACUACAACUUGAAGCCUCUGACUCUUUCGCCAUCCAAGGCCAUAAAAGUUGUGCAACUUAAAAGUUAGCUGAAGACCAAAGCAUGUUCAAAUCGCUGAGAUGAAUAAAACCCAAAGUCAACAACUGUCAAUCACUGUCCAUCUGAAGGGCUGCACCAUAUGCAAGUGGUGGUGGUAGCCCAGCAAUAAAUAUAAAGAGUUAGCAAGGUAAUUUUGUUGGGCUUGACAAUCUCUGAUACUCAUCUAAAAAGGGAAUAAACCCAAUUCAAUAUUCUGAGCUA
Non-coding RNA from Heterocephalus glaber (naked mole-rat), 4221 nucleotides. The record is from RefSeq and is a predicted model, not a curated record. NCBI's taxonomy places the organism in Eukaryota, Metazoa, Chordata, Mammalia, Rodentia, Bathyergidae.